GUCCCUGUUGAGCAAUGAGUAGCCCAUUGGACUUUUAAUCCAAAGGUCGUGGGUUCAAAUCCUUCCUGGGAUG
Trichonephila clavipes is the source of this 73-nucleotide non-coding RNA. Lineage: Eukaryota; Metazoa; Arthropoda; Arachnida; Araneae; Nephilidae. The record is from the annotation of a GenBank genome assembly.